This 492-nucleotide ribosomal RNA is filed under the name uncultured bacterium. RNAcentral's name for it is "partial 16S ribosomal RNA". It matches the Rfam family "Bacterial small subunit ribosomal RNA", at positions 29 to 507 of the family's 1533-position model. The record is from RNAcentral.
AGUGAACGCUGGCGGUAGUCCUAACACAUGCAAGUCGAACGGCAGCACAGUAAGAGCUUGCUCUUACGGGUGGCGAGUGGCGGACGGGUGAGGAAUACAUCGGAAUCUACUUUUUCGUGGGGGAUAACGUAGGGAAACUUACGCUAAUACCGCAUACGACCUACGGGUGAAAGCAGGGGAUCUUCGGACCUUGCGCGAUUGAAUGAGCCGAUGUCGGAUUAGCUAGUUGGCGGGGUAAAGGCCCACCAAGGCGACGAUCCGUAGCUGGUCUGAGAGGAUGAUCAGCCACACUGGAACUGAGACACGGUCCAGAAUCCUAAGGGAGGCAGCAGUGGGGAAUAUUGGACAAUGGGAGCAAGACUGAUCCAGCCAUACCGCGUGGGUGAAGAAGGCCUUCGGGGUGUAAAGCCCUUUUGUUGGGAAAGAAAAGCAGCAGGUUAAUACCCCGCUGUUCUGACGGUACCCAAAGAAUAAGCACAGGCUAACUCCGUG